GAUGAACGCUGGCGGCGUGCUUAACACAUGCAAGUCGAACGGAAAGGCUCCUGCUUGCAGGGGUACUCGAGUGGCGAACGGGUGAGUAACACGUGGGUGAUCUGCCCUGCACUUCGGGAUAAGCCUGGGAAACUGGGUCUAAUACCGGAUAGGACCACAUUUUGGAUGGUGUGGUGGAAAGUUUUUCGGUGUGGGAUGAGCUCGCGGCCUAUCAGCUUGUUGGUGGGGUAAUGGCCUACCAAGGCGUCGACGGGUAGCCGGCCUGAGAGGGUGUACGGCCACAUUGGGACGGAGAUACGGGCCAGACUCCUACGGGAGGCAGCAGUGGGGAAUAUUGCACAAUGGGCGCAAGCCUGAUGCAGCGACGCCGCGUGGGGGAUGACGGCCUUCGGGGUGUAAACUCCUUUCGCUAGGGACGAAGCGUUUUUGUGACGGUACCUGGAGAAGAAGCACCGGCUAACUACGUG
Molecule: ribosomal RNA, 467 nt
Filed under: uncultured bacterium
Lineage: Bacteria
Description: partial 16S ribosomal RNA
Rfam family: Bacterial small subunit ribosomal RNA
Source: RNAcentral